RNAcentral lists this ribosomal RNA (197 nucleotides) under Bifidobacterium sp. 197. RNAcentral's name for it is "partial 16S ribosomal RNA". It matches the Rfam family "Bacterial small subunit ribosomal RNA", at positions 206 to 405 of the family's 1533-position model. The record is from RNAcentral. Lineage: Bacteria; Bacillati; Actinomycetota; Actinomycetes; Bifidobacteriales; Bifidobacteriaceae.
GAUUCAUCGGUAUGGGAUGGGGUCGCGUCCUAUCAGCUUGAUGGCGGGGUAACGGCCCACCAUGGCUUCGACGGGUAGCCGGCCUGAGAGGGCGACCGGCCACAUUGGGACUGAGAUACGGCCCAGACUCCUACGGGAGGCAGCAGUGGGGAAUAUUGCACAAUGGGCGCAAGCCUGAUGCAGCGACGCCGCGUGCG